This 755-nucleotide ribosomal RNA is filed under the name uncultured bacterium. RNAcentral's name for it is "bacterial SSU rRNA". It matches the Rfam family "Bacterial small subunit ribosomal RNA", at positions 33 to 782 of the family's 1533-position model. The record is from RNAcentral.
ACGCUGGCGGCAGGCCUAACACAUGCAAGUCGAGCGGUAGAGAGAAGCUUGCUUCUCUUGAGAGCGGCGGACGGGUGAGUAAUGCCUAGGAAUCUGCCUGGUAGUGGGGGAUAACGUUCGGAAACGGACGCUAAUACCGCAUACGUCCUACGGGAGAAAGCAGGGGACCUUCGGGCCUUGCGCUAUCAGAUGAGCCUAGGUCGGAUUAGCUAGUUGGUGGGGUAAUGGCUCACCAAGGCGACGAUCCGUAACUGGUCUGAGAGGAUGAUCAGUCACACUGGAACUGAGACACGGUCCAGACUCCUACGGGAGGCAGCAGUGGGGAAUAUUGGACAAUGGGCGAAAGCCUGAUCCAGCCAUGCCGCGUGUGUGAAGAAGGUCUUCGGAUUGUAAAGCACUUUAAGUUGGGAGGAAGGGUUGUAGAUUAAUACUCUGCAAUUUUGACGUUACCGACAGAAUAAGCACCGGCUAACUCUGUGCCAGCAGCCGCGGUAAUACAGAGGGUGCAAGCGUUAAUCGGAAUUACUGGGCGUAAAGCGCGCGUAGGUGGUUAGUUAAGUUGGAUGUGAAAUCCCCGGGCUCAACCUGGGAACUGCAUUCAAAACUGACUGACUAGAGUAUGGUAGAGGGUGGUGGAAUUUCCUGUGUAGCGGUGAAAUGCGUAGAUAUAGGAAGGAACACCAGUGGCGAAGGCGACCACCUGGAACUGAUACUGACACUGAGGUGCGAAAGCGUGGGGAGCAAACAGGAUUAGA